Long non-coding RNA from Oncorhynchus keta (chum salmon), 1226 nucleotides. RefSeq lists it as uncharacterized. NCBI's taxonomy places the organism in Eukaryota, Metazoa, Chordata, Actinopteri, Salmoniformes, Salmonidae. The record is from RefSeq and is a predicted model, not a curated record. The transcript is spliced from 9 exons.
CUGCUACAUCACUAGCUCCCCUGGAAUGAGCCGAGGUAACAGAACUUAACUCAAUUCUAAGGUGAGUUGGGGUGUUGAUAUAAACAUAAAUAUGGAUGUUGGUUUGAUUUUAGAUUAACUAUAUUUUGGGGUACAAAAUACCAAACUUUUAACAGUGGGUAAGUAGUAGCAUGUGAUAGUUAAAGGGUCAGCACUUAAAUUAGAUGCUAGGAGAGAUAGAGGAGGACAGGACAGAGAUACCAUACAGCUGGGAGAGGUAGAGGAGGACAGGACAGAGAUACCAUACAGCUGGGAGAGAUAGAGGAGGACAGGACAGAGAUACCAUACAGCUGGGAGAGGUAGAGGAGGACAGGACAGAGAUACCAUACAGCUGGGAGAGGUAGAGGAGGACAGGACAGAGAUACCAUACAGCUGGGAGAGAUAGAGGAGGACAGGACAGAGAUACCAUACAGCUGGGAGAGGUAGAGGAGGACAGGACAGAGAUACCAUACAGCUGGGAGAGGUAGAGGAGGACAGGACAGAGAUACCAUACAGCUGGGAGAGGUAGAGGAGGACAGGACAGAGAUACCAUACAGCUGGGAGAGGUAGAGGAGGACAGGACAGAGAUACCAGUCACCAUACAGCUGGGAGAGGUAGAGGAGGACAGGACAGAGAUACCAUACAGCUGGGAGAGAUAGGAGGACAGGACAGAGAUACCAGUCACCAUACAGCUGGGAGAGGUAGAGGAGAACAGGACAGAGAUACCAGUCACCAUACAGCUGGGAGAGAUAGAAGGACAGGACAGAGAUACCAGUCACCAUACAGCUGGGAAAGGUAGAGGAGGACAGGACAGAGAUACCAGUCACCAUACAGCUGGGAGAGGUAGGAGGACAUGACAGAGAUACCAGUCACCAUACAGCUGGGAGAGGUAGAGGAUGACAGGACAGAGAUACCAGUCACCAUACAGCUGGGAGAGGUAGAGGAGGACAGGACAGAGAUACCAGUCACCAUACAGCUGGUAGAGGAGGACAGGACAGAGAUACCAGUCACCAUACAGCUGGGAGAGGUAGAGGAGGACGGACAGGACAGAGAUACCAGUCACCAUACAGCUGAGAGAGGUAGAGGAGGACAGGACAGGACAGAGAUACCAGUCACCAUACAGCUGGGAGAGGUAGAGGAGGACAGGACAGAGAUACCAGUCACCAUACAGCUGAGAGAGGUAGAGCAGGACAGGAGAGAGAUACCAG